RNAcentral lists this unclassified non-coding RNA (10385 nucleotides) under Aphidius gifuensis. RNAcentral's name for it is "protein unc-80 homolog, transcript variant X9". The record is from RNAcentral. Lineage: Eukaryota; Metazoa; Arthropoda; Insecta; Hymenoptera; Braconidae.
UCCAUCAAAUUUAUUAUGAUAUGAAUUAUUUAAAAAAUGUUGGUGAAUUUAUUGAACAAGUAAUUGACUCGUUAUUGUGACGCAGUGAUGUAAGAAAUCAUUGAACCAAACAUGAGUGUGUCAACUUUUAACAUCAAUUUGUAACACUUGAAUUUUAUUAAAAAUGGAUAUUAAAAGACGAUCCAUCGAUGGAAGCUUGUUGGAGCAAGCUUUGCCCAUCCCGAUACAGCUUUACCUUUGGCGUCAAAUGAGACCAUUUACAAGAGCAAAACUUGGUAAAGUCCACGAGGCAUCAUGUUUGUUUUGUCAAAAUGCACCUGGUCAUCAUGAAAUGAAAGAGGCCAGUACAUCAUUUGAAAAAGUACUUGUUCAAAGUCUUCAUAAUGAAUUGACACCAUCGUUGACUGAAAUAUUGAGUUCAGUACCACGUUGGCGUUUGAUUCAAUCUGCACUACCGUAUGUUCUUCAUUCAGCUGGAAAUCUUUUGCACAACAGAAAAGAUUUACAGCACAUUGGAACGAUGGAAACAACUCUUCUUUACAUUUUGCAUUGGUUUUUACUUGAUGCUGCUGAAGAAUGUGCUGAAAGUGAUAUGGAAACUGGAACUCCUAAUAAUCCAUUUUAUUAUCUUUAUUCAAUACCAACAAUUACGUUAUUUGUUUAUCUAUUUGCUCCUCUUUGUAAUCACUUGAAAGAUAUUGAUUUUAAGACAAAUUUACGAUUGGAAAAUGGAGUUAAAAUUUGGACACCUAUGAGUGAAUUUAAACAUCCAGAAACAGCUUGUUUUACAGCUCAUUGUAAACCCAAACCAAGAUCACUUUGGUUGAAAACAUCAAAAAUGAAUAAACAACAACAGCGAGUUUCUACUGAUAUUUUUGUUGGCCCAAAAAAAGAAAAAAAUGAAGUUUUUAAUGAUGAUGGUAGCCCACCUAAUGUAGGAGUAAAUAUGUGUUUUCCUGAUCAUAAUACUCCAAGUUCUACUAAGCAAGAUGACGAAAAUAAUUGGGUUUCAUCGCCUAAAGAUACAGUAUUUCCUGAAACAAUACCAGAAGAAAGUUCAAGCACUGAAGAUGAACACGUGGUCAUUUUUCGGCUACCAUCACUAACUGAAUCCGAACAAGAAAUGGAUGGUGUUAAAGAAAUUUUUACAAUAUAUGCAGAAGGAGCAAGUAUAUUUCAUAUCGCAAUGGGAAGAUCAACUGGUUCCAAGCAAACACUGACAAUAGAACAAGUUAGUCCUUCAUCAGAAUCUGAACCAAAUGACGAUAAUAAAUCAUCAACAAAGUUUGUAUUUCCUGAUAAAACAAACGAUGAAAAAGAUAAAAAAGCUGAAAAAGAUGAAUCAAAAUUAAAACGAGAUACAUCAGAUUCUCGUGGUGCAUUAUCAGCUGAUGCAAGUGGUAUUCAACCAUCAAAUCGUGAAGCUGUUGUAGAUGUUCAUGCUGCAACAUUUAUGGAUGUUGGAGUACUCAGAUGUCUUUUUGUUUCACAAUGGCAAGAAGAAGGAGUUUAUUGGGCUUUACAAUAUUUAUAUAAUCGUUUAAGAAAAAUUGAUGAUGAAACAACAGUACAACAAAUGCCAAGACGACGAAGUAAUUCAUUGCCAAUUCCAAAAAUUGAAGUAUCAAUAUAUCAAAGUCCUGAAAGCAAAAAAAGAGAUGAUUCAAAAGAAUGUAUUGAUCCACCUGAACCACCUGUUACAAUAUCAGAUUCAGCUGCAGAUAUUUCUUAUAAUGUAUCAAAAAAUCAACAAGAAAUUGAAGAACAUCAUAAUCAUUUUAGACGUGCUAGUGAAAAAGCUAAAAAAAAAAUGAAAAUUGCUGAUCUUAGAGCUUUUGUUGAGACAAAGCUAUUAUCAAAAUCAGAAAAAGCACUUGAAAAAAUUGGACAAGAAGAAAACAAAGAUUUAAUGGAACAACAUGAAGAUUAUCACAGAAGUCUUGAUACUGGAGAUGAUCAUUUAGUUCGACAAGCAUCAACGUCAUCUCGUAUUUCUGAUGAAUCCAAUGUCGAUCAAAUGCAGUAUCCAUCGAAUCUUACAAAAGGAAAAAGCAUGCCAAGUCUUAGCUGUUUGAUAAAUGAGCUGAACGCGAGUGGGUACAUUGGUGAUAAUGAUGAGGAAAAAAAGCAGGCUGCAGUACGACUGCACAGCCAAUCAUCAACAGUACCAAAUCCUAUUAUAACUGUUACCGAACAUACACCAACACCAUCACCAGAUUAUUUAAAACGACAGGGUUCAAUAGACAGUCAACUAGAUGCAAUAAGUAUGCAUGGUAAGCUAAAUUCUGAUAGAAAACCAAGCUUGACAAGAUCACAGACUGAUUCAAACAUCACUUAUACUGGUGAGGAAAUACCAGAAGCACCAGGUUCAGCUUCUUACAUAACAAAACAAGGUGACAUUGAUUAUUAUGUAAUCUUAAAGGCUGUACAUUCAGUUGCUUUGAGAGAUGCUACUUUUUGUACUCUUCGUGUUAGUGAAAUUAUAUUAAAUUUAAUGGAAUUAUUAAUGGAAAUAGGAGUACUUAAACAAUGUUUACGUGAUGAUAAUGGUAGUAAUGCUGAAUCAGGAACUGAUGUUAAUGAAAAAAUUGAAAAAGGUAGCAGAAAACAUGAAUCACCAGUUAAUGAACAAGAUCCACAUUAUGAUCCAGAUGGACGUAAUUGGAAUGCACAUGCAUUGAUGAUGAAUUGUGUACUUCGUGUUAUAAAACAUUUAGGCUGUCCAAAUGGCUGUGCUGAAAGUAUACGUGGUCCACAAGCUGAAUUUUGUAGAUCUCAAGCUCAUACAAUAAUUAAUAAACUUCAUCGUGCUAGUUCAAAAUUAUUUACUCGUUGGCUACGUAAUAUGGUACGAGAUCAACCACUAUCAGAUAUCAUUGAUGUUUUUCAUGCGUAUCUUGGUUUUUGCGUUGAUCCAAGUUCGUUAUUAUCACCUCUUAUUGCAAAAAAAAGUGCUAAUAAAUCACCAGAUACAGCAACACAAGGAGGAUAUGCUACGAAUUUUGGUGCUGGUCUUGGUGCUGGUUUUGGAUCAAUUGGUUUAUCAACAUGUAUUCCAACAGCAUCAAUAUCAGCAACUGCUGCUGCUUUAGCCUCAGCAACAGCAGCAUCAGCAACUGCUUCUUAUGGUGGAGUUGGUUAUACAUCAAGAAAUUCAGAAAAUCAAAUUCUUGGAUGUGUUUUUAAAUUACUUGUUACUCGUUUUGUUAAAGAUAUUAAAAUACUUAAAACUGCUGAAAAUAUAUCAUUAUAUUGUGAUAUAAAACAAUUUGUAACAUAUGUUAAAGAAGCACAUGGUGGUGUAUUUAGAAGAGUUGCAUUAAGUGGUAUUUUAGAUUCUUCAGAUAGACCAAAUAAACGUUGUACAAGUUGUGUUAAAACAACAAGAGUUAUACGACAUAUACAUCAAGAAUUUGAUGAUAUGGGUGAUCUUGCUGAUACAUGUUAUACAGUAGAUGAAAAAGGAAAUAGAAAAUUUCUUUUUAAAAAAAGAAGUACAUCAUCAAAUUGUGCUCAACCUGAUUUUUUUGGAUUACAGAGUCUUCUUGAGGCUGAACUUAGUGAUGAUAAUGCUAAAAUAAGUCAAAGUCCAUUAGGUAAUUUACGAAAAAAACAUCAUAUGCUUACACCAAGACAGAGUGAAAGAAAUUUAAGAAUAAGUGAUCCAUCUUUGGGUGGUUCAAGAUCAAGAAAAGCAACGAGAUUUCAAAUUGGUGGUAUAGUUAAUUGGUUUCGAAGAGAAUAUAGCAGAACAGAUUCAACAGACAGUCAUGAUAGUAGUGAAUCACCAACAGAAGCAAGUUUUAUUCGUCAAUCAAGUUUUUAUCGUGGACAUUAUCGUUUAACUGGUCGUUCUAGUAGAGGAGUUAGUCAUACAUUCCAAAGAGCAAAAAGAAGAAUGGAAAAUCAAUUAAAUAAAAUUGGCUUUAGAAAAGGAAAUAAAAAAGAGAGCGCAGACGAAACCCCACGAAAUUACUUUAGUAGAAGAACAUCAACAGAAUUUGGAGAAGGCUCAAGAGAGUCAGAAUUUGUUGUAUUAAAAGAACGACGAUUAAUACCACAAUUUGCAGUUUUUGAAGGAAUGCAACGUUUUUCAUUUCUCUUGGAAAUUUGUCAACCAGGUGCAGUACCAGAUCAUCAUUUAAUUGCAGCAAUUUUAGAUUUACCAUAUGCACCAGUUGUUGCACGAGCAUCAUUACUGCUUGAAUGUGCUCAUCUAGUACAUCAAUGUAAUAAAGGACAUUGGCCAACUUGGAUGAAAAUUAAUUUCACAUCAUCUCGUCCAUCAAUGCCAAUGGGAAAUAGAAAUAUUCCAACUGGACUUAGACGUACACAUGUAUUACAACGAGCUGCUGGAAAACUUUUUUACCAGUGGGCUGAGGCAAUUGGUACACGCUUGGAACAAUUUAUUGCUGAAGACAAGCUAAAUGUUGAUCAAAUUGUUGCUAUGGUAUCUGAUGAGAGUAAACAAAGAGAUUUAAUAAUUGAAGAUGAAGAAGAAGACUUUCUCGAUGAAGCAAGUAUAAAUGGAUAUGGAUCUCAGUGUCCAGUGUCACUUCGUAUGGUAGCAUGUAUGCUUUUACUUGAGAUAACAGCAUUUCUUCGUGAGACAUACCAGAGUCUACCAAAAUCAAGUCGUCUUUCAGCCAAGGAACGUCCACCACCAUGGGAAAGAAUGUACAGUCGUGAGGCAAAUCGUCGCUGGAGUAUGGCAUUAUCAUCAAUGGGACAUUCACAAACUUCAGCUCAGAGUCUACAAUCAAUUGCUGGUGAUCGUGAGACUGGUGAGUUGAUGAAAGAAGCUAUCGAAAAAGGCAAUUGGGAUAAUGCAAAUCCUAUCACAAAUCAUCAACCAUCUGAUUCAAUUGCCCUCGACUUUCGUUCAGAACGAAAAAUCAGCUUUGUAUUGCACGAGCCUGAUAACGAGUCCGAAGGUAGCAGUAAGUCAACAGCAACAAUACAUGGAGAUGAUGUACAAACAAGUGAUCGUGAUAAAAAAAGAGGAGUUCAAACAACAUCAGGAAGACCAUUUUUAUUACGUAGAGGAACUACUGCUGGUGCAGCAACUGGCUCAUUCAAACGUAGAAGUUUAAAAUUACGUCGUGGUACUAAGGAAGGCAAAGACAUGGAAUGUGAGGCUUUUGUUCGAUCAAUAGAUGCAGUAAGACGUGCUGAUUCAAUUCAAUCAAAAAGAAAAGUCAGCUCAUUGUCAGAUAGAAGUGAUGGAUCAGAACCUGGUUAUUUUGGUGAAGUUAGUGGUGAAGAAUCACCUGGUAUAUUGAGUGAUGAUCAACCACCAGAAAGUCCAAGUGAUUCAAAUGAUACUGAUGAUUCAAAUAAAAAUUUUCCAUGGUUAAAAGUACUAGUACAAACAGCAAAUUCAUUUAAUUUUUAUUGCUCACAUCAAAAUUUUUGUCAUCCAUAUUGUCAUCGUCGACAAAUGCGAGCAUGUAGCAGAUUAAUUAAAUCUGUUAGAAAAGUUUAUGGUGAUGAAUUUGGUAUUAUUAAUGGAACUAGUACAUUUGAUUUUGAUUCGGAUUCUAAUAAAAAAGAAGAAAGAAAAAAAGAUAAACGUGGAAGAAAUCCAUCUGAUCAAACAAGUACUCAAGUAUCACCAAUAAGAAGAAAAGAUAGUCUUGGUCGAAAAUUUAAAAUUGACAAAAGUUUUGAAGGUUCACAAUCUGGACGUGUUACUGGUAAUCGAGAUUCUUCAAAAGAUCUUGCAGAUCAAGAUUCAGAACGAGGUCAAGAUUCAUUAAAAAAAAAUGGUGUUGAUAAUGACAAUGAAACAGAUAAAGAAACACCAGCUAUACUAAAAUAUAUAAAAACUCAAGUUAAAGAUAUUUUUCAUGCACCUUUAGCAACUCUUGUAAAAGGAGCAGUAGCAAUGUCUGAAGAUCUUUUUGUUGAUGUAUUACCAGUUGCAUGGGAACUAUUAUUAGAAUCAAAUCAAGAAGUUGUUGCAUCAUCAGUUGCAUUAUUUAUUGUAGCAGCAGUACGAGCACCAAAUCAAGCAAGUGAAAUAAUGCAUCAUAGUCUUCAACAUAGUAGUGCAGCUGUUAGAAUAAAUGCAAUAUUAAGAUUUCAAAUUUUAUGGAAAUUACGUUAUCAAGUAUGGCCAAGAAUGGAAGAAUCAGCACAUCUUACAUUUAAAGUACCACCACCAGGAAUUGAAUUUACAUUACCAUCACCAAAAAUUGGAAUUGAAUCAUUGCCUGUUGUUGAUCCUCCAUGGAUGCCACAAGUUAAAACAAAAGUUGAAGAAGUUACAAUUAAUCAAGAACGUCAUAGAUCACUUGUAACAGCAACAAAAACACGUAAAAAACAACAAACAGAAUUAAUUAAAAUGGCAUUACAAGCACAAGAUGAUAAAAAACGUGAAGAACGUGAAAAUUUUUUAAUUACAACAAUACCAAUAACUGUACAAGCUGCAUAUGAACCAAGUCCAGUUGGUGAUGAUCAUGAUGAAGGAAAUGUUGAUGAUGAAGGUGGUGAAACAGCACCGCGAAAUACUUCUCAUCAUAAUCAAUCAGCUCUUUCAUUAUUUCCAUCAUCUUUAUGUUCAGCAAUUGUACAAAUAAUUAAUCUUCUUGAUGAUGCUGCUGUUUCUGAUGAUGGUAAUGCUGUUUAUGAAGUUGCCUAUCAAGUUAUAUGGAGUUGUCUUGUUGAAGACAGUGCAUUAUUUCUUCGUUAUGUUCUUGAACGAUUAACACGUGAAAAACAAGAAUUAAUGUUUAAAAUUUUACGACAUUUAAUACGUUUUGUACCAAGAUUACCACAACAAGCAGCAUUUGCAUUGUAUAAUUAUAUUAUUGGAUAUGUCAUGUUUUAUGUACGAUCACCACAUGAAGAAGGUCAAAAAUUUAUUGGAACAGCUUUGUCAAUACUCUGGAUGGUUGUUCACUCGGUUCAUGGAAUAAUGUUUAAAGAUUUAAAACAAAUAUUAAGAAAAGAGCAGUGUGAUGCAUCAAUACUCUUGACUGCUAAUGUUCCUUCGGCGAAGAAAAUCAUCGUGCAUGGCCCUCAAGAUCCUGACGCUGGUGGAAUUCCUUCGCAGUUUCCUGUUCAGGAAGACACUCAGUUUUGUCAGAUUCUCAGGGAAUCCUUGGAUUUCUUCGGUAUCGAGGAACAAAAGCAUAAAGAGUAUUUUUUAGUUGACUAUAAAACACAUCAAAUUCAUAAUCCUUCCUCGUAUGUUCGAGAUUAUUACUUUUUUAAAAGAUCACAAUAUCCACAGCUUGAACUUGUUCAUAUGAAACCAGAAGAUGCCUUUAAUGCCUUGCAGAAACAAGAGUUAGUUCACAAAUUUGUUGAAAUUGGUAAAGUUUUGCUGACUUGGGCAAUUUUGAAAAAUGUCGAUAUGGUAGUUCAAAGAGUUGUUUUUUUACAUGAAGAACUUAUGAAGCUACCAUCUUUUCCAAGAAAAGCACUUGAAGCAGAUCUUGAUUUAUAUAAAGGUGGUGAAAUUGGAAGAGAAUUACUUGGACUUGAUGUGAUGCAUAAAUUUAUGUGGGUUAGAUUAAUUGCAAGAAUGUUUGAAGCAAUGGCUGGUAAUUUUGCCUAUUCAGGUGAUAUACAUUUAUUUUUAAAUGUAUUAAAUGGAGCACUUGUUCUUCACAGUGAAGAUUCAUGUAUUCUUCGUUAUGUUGUAGCAACAUAUAUUAAUGCUGCACAUAAUUUUAAAAAUAUAUUUUCAACAAAUGGAUAUCUUUUAAUAAUGCCAUCAUUAUUACAACUUUAUGCAACACAUCAAACAAAUAAACUUGUAACAACAACUGUUGAAUAUGCAGUAAAACAAUUUUACAUGAUGAAUCGUAAACCAUUUAUAUUACAAAUGUUUGGAAGUGUCUCAACCAUAUUGGAUACAGAUGAAUCAGCAACUCAUGGUGAUGCUCAUAAAGUACCAUCAACUUGUCUUUUCAAUCUGUUACUAAGUUUAGAAACACCAUCACCAGAUCCACUUAAUAUUGGUGAAUUGGUAAAAGAAGAAAAACCCCUCAAAGCCAUUGAUUUUUGUUAUCAUGAUGAAAGUGAAAUGGUCACUGUUCUUGACUGUAUAUCAUUGUGUGUCAUGGUCAUAGCAUAUGCCGCAGAUUCCAUUAGAGGACAGCAGAUGUUGAUUAUACUUGAGGCAAUUUUACCUUGUUAUAUUAAACAAAUUCAAUCACCAUCAUAUAAUAAAGAAGGUAAAACAGAAAAAGAAAUAAUUAAUCAAGUUGCAAUUGCUGUUAAGACAUUGGUUAAUAAUUCCGAAGCUUUGACAAAAUAUUAUAAUGGUCCACAAAAAUCAAGUCCUGAGCAUAAAGGAUCAAGUCAAAGAAAUUAUGGUAAAGGUCCAUAUUCACCUGGUUUUGAUUUUGAGGAUGAAACACAUACUGCAAAAUAUAUGGAACAUACAAAAGCAAGAAAUAUUUAUGAACGUGAUAAUGAAGAUUCUGAAAAUUCUCAUAAAACUGAAUUUCGAAGACCACGUGAUACAUUAUUAAAUAUGGUUGGUGAAUAUGUAGCAAAAUGUACAGUAAGAUUAGCUGAGCUUAAUAAAAAAUUACCAGAUGGUAAAACAAUUGAAUUAUUAGAUUCAAAGUGUCACAUAAGAUUGGCAGAAAUAGCACAUAGUUUACUUAAAGUAUCACCAUAUGAUCCUGAUACAAUGGCUUGUCGUGGAUUAAGAAGAUAUAUGAAUGAUAUAUUACCAUCAACUGAAUGGUCAAGUGAUGAUAUGAGACCAGCAUUGAUAACUCUUCUUCGUCGUCUUGAUAAAACAUUUAGUAAAAUUUAUAAAAAAGCAUCAAUACGUAGAAAUACUGAUUGGCAAGCAGCAAGUGAUUUAUUAAAAGGUGUUUAUGAAACAUUAUCACGUUAUCAAUAUAUUGCACAUUAUCAAUAUCUUAAAACAUUAAUAAGUACUUGUCAAGCAUUGAUUAUUGGUGAUAUGGCACUUGUUGAAGUAACAUCAGCAGCUUCAGUUGCUCUUAUGAGUAAAAUACCACCAGCACAUUUUUGUUCAUCUGUUUUACGAUUGAUUGCACUUUAUGUUAUAUCAUUAGGUGAUGGUUAUACAUUGGAAAAUAUUAGUGGUGGUAAUGCAAUGUUUGCUUCACAAACAAGAACAGAAAAUAUGUUACUUAAUUUAUUGAUACCAUUAUUUUUACGUGUUGGUACUGGACGUAAAGAUAUACCAAAAUUACGUCAAUCUGAUAUUAGUUUUGCAUUAAUGGCAGUUUUAAAUACUCUAUGGCCAACUGGAACAAAAACAGCUCCAAUAACUGUACAAAAUUUAAAAGCAACAACAGAUAUUAGAACAGGAAGUUUAACAUUUGCUGCAAGAGAUCAAAAAAUUUCAACAAAAAUAUCAUUGUCAUUGUAUCGUGUUGCAUUUCUUGCACUUAAAAUAAUGACAAUAUGUUUUGAAGUUGAAUUAAAAACUGAAUGGAUGAAAAUAUUAAGAACAAUGCGUUUAUUAAAUAAACGAAAUGAAGCAUCAAUUCAUUUAUGGAAUUUUCUUGAAUUUGUUGUAACACAUCGUACUGCAUUAUACAUACAAAUGUUACCAUUUAUUGUACAUAAAAUUGGUCAACCACCAAUAUCAGAACAUGAACGUAAUAUGCAAAGUCUUAUACGUGGAAAAAUAAAUGGUGAUAUUAUGGCAUUUCCAAAAUCAAGAGGUACAUUAAUUGGUAAUUUAUUACAUGAAUUACGUGAUUUAAAAGAAGAAAUUGAAGAUAGAAAAUUUGAUGAAUUACAACCAGAACCAAAAAGAAGUGUUGUUGAUAUGCAUGCAAAUGCACCAAAUGAUGGACAAUCAAGAACACAAAGACCAUCAUUAUUAAUUGAUUUAUUAACUGGUGAUUUGGGUUCACGUGCUCAUAUUAAUCGUACACCUGCUGAAACACCUGGAUCACAAUCAACUGCAAUUGGAUCAUUGCCACAUUCAAUACAUAAUUCAAUUCAUUCUAGUAGUACAACUAAAUCUUCAGCACAAAGUUUUGCAUCAGCGCCACCAAUACAAGGAGCUCGAGUUGAUCAGCGAGGUUCAGUAUCUAGUCACAGUGGUGGAUCAUCAACAAUAAAAGAAGCUGGUGAAAUUACACCAAAUGAUAGUCAAUCUAAUCAACAAAUAACAACAGCUAUGCUAGCUAGGGAACGGAGACAGAUCCCAAUCAUCUUCUACUUGUGAUAAACGUAACAAUGAUACUCAUCAUCCUAUCGUUACAUUUCAAAAGACGCCUAAACUACGCUUUUUAUCUUCUGUAGAGUUUAGAAACUCAUCAGGAGAAAUAGUCAAGAGUCAACUAAGUCCGAACAGUCCAACCAAAGACAGCUCAAGCGAAUCAAAACCAGACAGGCCUCGUUUGCAGCGUUCGAUGGGACAAAGCAAGAGAACU